ACCUCAAGUCAUGUGAGAUUACCCGCUGAACUUAAGCAUAUCAAUAAGCGGAGGAAAGAAACUAACAAGGAUUCCCCUAGUAACGGCGAGUGAAGCGGGAAGAGCACAAAUUUAAAAUCUACCUGGUUUCAGGUCGAGUUGUAAUUUGAAGAUACGUUUUUGAUGUUCCAGGUUGGACUAAAUCCUUUGGGAUAAGGUAUCAUAGAGGGUGAGAAUCCCGUAUAUACCAACCGUAGGGAUGUUAUUAAAUACGUUUCUAAGAGUCGAGUUGUUUGGGAAUGCAGCUCUAAAUGGGUGGUAAAUUUCACCUAAUGCUAAAUAUAAGCGAGAGACCGAUAGCGAACAAGUACAGUGAUGGAAAGAUGAAAAGAACUUUGAAAAGAGAGUUAAAUAGUACGUGAAAUUGUUGAAAGGGAAACGAUUGAAGUCAGUCAUGCCGGUGGGAAUCAACUUAGGGGAAACUCUAGGUGCACUUCUUCGCUUGGCAGGUCAACGUCGAUUUUGAAUGUCAUAAAAUAAUUGGGGGAAGGUAGCUCCUUCGGGAGUGUUAUAGCCUUUGAUAGAUGUGAUGUUUGGGGUCGAGGAUUGCAACGAAUACCCUUUGGGGCUAGCCGCCUGAUCUCUAAUCGGUGUUGGGUUAUGGAUAGCAUGCUGACCGUGAUCUAAUUACUGGUUAAAAGGUUAGAGCGUGCAUAAAUUCGUUAAGGACGUUGACGUAAUGGCUUUAAACGACCCGUCUUGAAACACGGACCAAGGAGUCUAACAUGUAUGCGAGUGUUAGGGUAUUAAACCCAGACGCGAAAUGAAAGUGAGUGUAGGUGGGAUCCUUUAUUGGAGCACCAUCGACCNNNNNNNNNNNUUAUCGAUAGAAUUGAGUUAGAGC
Molecule: ribosomal RNA, 883 nt
Filed under: Gigaspora margarita
Lineage: Eukaryota; Fungi; Glomeromycota; Glomeromycetes; Diversisporales; Gigasporaceae
Description: eukaryotic LSU rRNA
Rfam family: Eukaryotic large subunit ribosomal RNA
Source: RNAcentral